Molecule: ribosomal RNA, 164 nt
Filed under: Veronica montana
Lineage: Eukaryota; Viridiplantae; Streptophyta; Magnoliopsida; Lamiales; Plantaginaceae
Description: 5.8S ribosomal RNA
Rfam family: 5.8S ribosomal RNA
About the family: 5.8S ribosomal RNA (5.8S rRNA) is a component of the large subunit of the eukaryotic ribosome. It is transcribed by RNA polymerase I as part of the 45S precursor that also contains 18S and 28S rRNA. Functionally, it is thought that 5.8S rRNA may be involved in ribosome translocation.
Source: RNAcentral
UCUAAACGACUCUCGGCAACGGAUAUCUCGGCUCUCGCAUCGAUGAAGAACGUAGCGAAAUGCGAUACUUGGUGUGAAUUGCAGAAUCCCGUGAACCAUCGAGUUUUUGAACGCAAGUUGCGCCCGAAGCCUUUUGGCCGAGGGCACGCCUGCCUGGGCGUCAC